UUUUGGAUAGCCAAUUGGUAAAGGCACCGGAUUUAGUUUCCGCUAAACGGGGGUUCGAAUCCCUCUCCAAAAA
RNAcentral lists this transfer RNA (73 nucleotides) under Roseibium aggregatum. RNAcentral describes it as "tRNA-Leu". It matches the Rfam family "tRNA". Rfam says of the family: Transfer RNA (tRNA) molecules are approximately 80 nucleotides in length. Their secondary structure includes four short double-helical elements and three loops (D, anti-codon, and T loops). The record is from RNAcentral. Lineage: Bacteria; Pseudomonadati; Pseudomonadota; Alphaproteobacteria; Hyphomicrobiales; Stappiaceae.